CGGUGAAUACGUUCCCGGACCUUGCACACACCGCCCGUCAAGCCAUGGAAGCCGGGUGUACCUAAAGUCGGUAACCGCAAGGAGCCCCGCCUAGGGUAAAACUGGUGACUGGGGCU
RNAcentral lists this ribosomal RNA (116 nucleotides) under uncultured bacterium. RNAcentral describes it as "partial 16S ribosomal RNA". It matches the Rfam family "Bacterial small subunit ribosomal RNA", at positions 1360 to 1482 of the family's 1533-position model. The record is from RNAcentral.